CCUCCGGCCCCGCCGAGCUGCGCCCGCUGCCUUCACACCCCGGACAUCCGCGCCACACGGGAGACCUGCGGAGACAGCCCCCGUGAGGCUCCCGUUCCCGCCCCCUCCCGCCCCAGGGACCCAGACCCCAGGAGGCCUCACCCCAGAGCAAGAGAAAGACCACCAACAUGGACAUGAUGGUCGCGCUCACUCCGGUGCAGUGAGUAUCUGGGUGCUGGAUCCUGGAUCCUGUUCUAGAAGGAGACGCUGAGUUCUCCGCACUCUACCUGGAGCUGCUGAGGUCAAGUGGAGAGUGCCAGGGCUGCAGCCCAGCGAGCCCCUCCCUGUCACACCACACUGCACAUGUGACACCAAAGGCAUUUAUUGAGCAUCUACUGUGUGCCAGAUGCAAAGAAGACAGUGGGAUAACUGCGCAAGGAGCAUUCCGGGCAGAGGGAGCAGCCAGUGCAAAGAUGGGAGAUGGGGUUUCAGUGAGAAGGAGCAGAGACCAGGAGUUGAGGCGACUGCAGAGCGAUUGCAGAGCUCAGAGACGUGAUGAAGACCAGCUGGGCACUGCAGUGGCUCUGGCUUCUGCUGUGAGGGACGGGGAGCUGUGGAGACUCCCUCUGUUUGGUCCCAUUUCCAUAUUGCUGAGCACCUGCUGCAUGCUCUCUGUCCUGCUCAGAGCCAGUACUUGGAGGGAGGCUGUGUGUUCUGGGUGGACUGGGGG
This 709-nucleotide non-coding RNA is filed under the name Pongo abelii (Sumatran orangutan). Lineage: Eukaryota; Metazoa; Chordata; Mammalia; Primates; Hominidae. The record is from RNAcentral.